CCUACGGGAGGCAGCAGUAGGGAAUCUUCCACAAUGGACGAAAGUCUGAUGGAGCAACGCCGCGUGAACGAUGAAGGCUUUCGGGUCGUAAAGUUCUGUUGUAAGGGAAGAACAAGUGCCGCAGGCAAUGGCGGCACCUUGACGGUACCUUGCGAGAAAGCCACGGCUAACUACGUGCCAGCAGCCGCGGUAAUACGUAGGUGGCAAGCGUUGUCCGGAAUUAUUGGGCGUAAAGCGCGCGCAGGCGGCCUCUUAAGUCUGAUGUGAAAGCCCCCGGCUCAACCGGGGAGGGCCAUUGGAAACUGGGAGGCUUGAGUAUAGGAGAGAAGAGUGGAAUUCCACGUGUAGCGGUGAAAUGCGUAGAGAUGUGGAGGAACACCAGUGGCGAAGGCGACUCUUUGGCCUAUAACUGACGCUGAGGCGCAAAAGCGUGGGGAGCAAACAGGAUUAGAUACCCUGGUAGUCCACGCCGUAAACGAUGAGUGCUAGGUGUUGGAGGGUUUCCGCCCUUCAGUGCUGAAGCUAACGCAUUAAGCACUCCGCCUGGGGAGUACGGUCGCAAGGCUGAAACUCAAAUGAAUUGACGG
This 587-nucleotide ribosomal RNA is filed under the name uncultured bacterium. RNAcentral's name for it is "bacterial SSU rRNA". It matches the Rfam family "Bacterial small subunit ribosomal RNA", at positions 338 to 916 of the family's 1533-position model. The record is from RNAcentral.